Halichondria panicea is the source of this 2511-nucleotide long non-coding RNA. RefSeq lists it as uncharacterized. Lineage: Eukaryota; Metazoa; Porifera; Demospongiae; Suberitida; Halichondriidae. The record is from RefSeq and is a predicted model, not a curated record. The transcript is spliced from 3 exons.
UACAAAUGGUUGUGAUCCUCCAACUGUGUACCUCUAACUCUAAACCAUUGGAUAUCACCAUCCCCUCAUGUCCUUCUACCCACGCAUUUCUGUGUCUUACAUGGGGAGGUAUGAGUUAGCUAGCCAGACCAAGAAACCUGGUUCAGAGCUAGCCUCUUUAUAUACAUGUCGUCGUGUGUGCUAACAGUAGUACUGAUAUGCAUCUCUUGUCCUUGCAGAGAACAAAUUAGCUUGUGAAAGCGUGACCCUAUAUACCCAUUGGAGAUGAAGCCAAUUUAUUGUGUAGGGGGUAUUUACCGUAUUUUUUUGUCUCAGUGUGUUGUGAUUCGUGUCCCAACGACAGUGCUGGCUGCUUGACAGAAGUGAUUGACCAAUGGAUGAAGGGUUGGUCUGGACGACCAACAUGGAGUGAGCUGGCCAAUCUCGUCUCAGUAACAUAGGAGAGGAGCAAGUACAUGUAGCAAAGGAACUUGUGACCAGCUACGAGUCUGGGGCAUGUGGCAGGGGUGCACGACUCUAGGAGGAUCUUCUGAGAGGAGAGUGUGCUAUAUAAAAUAUCUCCUUGGGCAGUUCCAGCAGUGGAUUGCAGCUACAUCUGUUAUAGAGUGUACACAGACCAGUGAGGAGGACCUUGCACCUCAAGCACACCAGUGAGUUUCUCCAUAGAAUCAGAUUGCUCGUAGCACCAGUCGUAUGCUGAUGGAGGUGGCAAGAGAAUUUCAAGAAAAUGGCUGCCCAGGUCACCCAGAUUGAGAACGACAAAGAUCGAGAGAAGACUCACCGAUAAGAGAGAGUACAUGUAAGUCAAUAUACAGUACCCCCUUAGAUUAUAGGCACGUAGUUCACAUUUAAAGGUCGUCAGUUGAAUCCGAAGGUCGGGUGGAGAUGCUGGCGUGAUAAUAUCGGUUUACGCGGGCACAGUCUUUGUGGCUUAACCUGUUGACCCAUACUUGCAUUUUUUUUGUCAUCUUGUUGUGGGGGCUGGCUAUGCGUUUAGGCCACUCUUUUUAUUUGUUGAACACACAAUCAGCAUGAGCUUGCCGUCACACAAACACGAAGUUUAACCCCACUCUCUUUUGAGUAGCCCCACAAAAUUAGCGCCACUGUUUUUAACUUGUCGCCACACAAAUACAAAAUUUAGCCCCCCUAUUCUUAGCAUACUUUUAGAACAAAUAGUAUGCCAUACAAUGGAGGAUUUCAAGUUGGUGGCAGAAGUUAAAAGUUGAAGUGCACUCAGCCAUGACCCCUCCCCCCCACACACACACAUGUACACACACACCGUGCACUGUGCACAGGAGGAUAGUCAGGGUCAAUUAAAAGGAUUCCUGAUAACUUAUUUGCAUUCCGCUCUCUCUUUCUUACCUCUAACCACUAGUGAGGGGGUUGGAGAUAAUUAAGUCCGCUGGAAGCAGAUUUGAAUUGACCUUGAAUAUCCUCAUUUGCGCGCACACACACACACACACACACACACACACUACUGACAAACAUUUGGUUCAUAUUAGCUCAGCCAACAAGUCACAAGUAAGUAUCCUUUGUCUUCGACUUAAUUCGUGGAUUUGCAAAAUAAUGUUCACAGUUUUGCUUACUUGGAAUGUCAUUGCAGCCUUUUCAGAAGAGCACGUUUGUUUACGGAGUGUCAAUUGGUUGAUCGUUACCCAUUCUUUGAGUUUGCAUGCGCAGUAAAAUGUAUGUUGUCAUGUAAAUUUAAAAAAGCUAUUAGUUGCUUUAUGUUAUAUGUACGUAGCUUUGGCAUCUCCACCGAGGCAUCAGCACCUGAGGUGCUAAGUAUACUUAGACAGAGGAGGUUGGCCACGCGUCAUCAAUUUUGUGACGUAUGUGAUGUCUCUGCUCAGGUUACCAUGGAUACCGAGCAACUGUAAAAAGAAUGUAUGGCUACUGUUACUUUGCUAGCUUAUAACUGUUGUCUAGUUGGACCAGGAUUAGCUAGACUAUAGGGUAGAGUAUAGCUCAGCGGUGCUGCAUGUAGCUUGUACUGUACUGGCUGACAAGAAUCUGGUAAACACUAUAUGCACUGAUAACUCGCCAGAAUAGAGGGGAUCGCUGCAUGGGGAUCGGGUUGGUUAAUGAUAGCCAGAGAGAUACAUAAAUGUUGCUUUCAGUCUCCAAUGACCGUGCAACACCAGCUAGAAGUUUACAUGGAAAACCCUUGUCAAUUUCUAUGCCAGCUCAGCAAAAAAAGUGGUGCACGUGAUCGUGUCCAACCUCCUCUGAUGCUUAGAUCAUGUUUGUCAUAAAUACUGCAAUUUGAUUGGCUAAAGGAAUUAAGUGUUCUAUCCAACUUAGAAAAUCAUGUAUAUACUUCACUUAGAAAAUCAUGUAGAGAUAAGAACAUUCAAAUCUGAUUGGCUAAAAUUUAAUACCCAUGGUUGCUAUGAUCUAAAAUGCUUAGACACUGUUUAGGAAGUUUCCACGUGAUUUAGAAGUCCUCAGGGCACUGCGUUCGAGAUACUACGACCAGCCCUUUGGGCUUCUAAAUCAUGCAGAAACUUC